GAGCUAAAUAUACUACAAUAGUAGUUGUUUAAUGGGGUGUGGCAAAACUCCACCAAAAAUUAUAUUUAGGGGUGAUAGGCCUUUCAAAAACUAAGAUAUCUUGAUUUCAAUGAAAUGUAUUUAGUACAGUUAAUACAUUUAUUAAGUGUUUAGGUUUAAUAAUAAUAUAAAAUAAUAUACAAUGUAAUAUUACGUUUUAAUAAAUAAGUACUUACAAACAUAAUAUACUUCUAUAAAAGUUAUAGUUAAUAAUUGGAUAUAAUUAAAAUAAAUUAUAUUGUAAAUAAUGUUAGUAUUAGUAUUACAUAUAAGUUUUUGUAAGGAACUCGGCAAAGUGCUUCUCAACUGUUUAUCAAAAACAUAACUAUGUGCACUCAUCCAUAGCGGUAUCUGCUCAAUGAAUUAUUAAAUAGCCGCAGUAUUCUGACUGUGCAAAGGUAGCAUAAUCAAUUGACUUGUAAUUGAAGUCUGGAAUGAAGGAAAGUAUGGGGAGCCACUGUCUUGUAAAAAUUGUGAGGAACUUAUUUAGGAAGUGAAAAUCCUUCUCUCGAUAUAAGGGACGAGAAGACCCUAGAAAUUUUUAUUCUAUUAGAAUAUAUCUUUAAUAUUUUUUCGCUGGGGCGGCGGAGUAACAUAAAACUUACUUACAUAAACAUGCGCCUUAUUUGGUAUCUGAUAAAAUUACUCUAGGGAUAACAGCAUAAUAUUUAAAAGUUUGUGACCUCGAUGUUGGACUAGGACAUAAUAACCUAAAAGGUUUUUUAUAAUGCUCUGUUCGAGCAUAGACUCCUACAUGAUCUGAGU
This 804-nucleotide ribosomal RNA is filed under the name Euhadra quaesita. RNAcentral describes it as "partial 16S ribosomal RNA". Lineage: Eukaryota; Metazoa; Mollusca; Gastropoda; Stylommatophora; Camaenidae. The record is from RNAcentral.